Molecule: ribosomal RNA, 500 nt
Filed under: uncultured bacterium
Lineage: Bacteria
Description: partial 16S ribosomal RNA
Rfam family: Bacterial small subunit ribosomal RNA
Source: RNAcentral
AUUGAACGCUGGCGGAAUGCUUUACACAUGCAAGUCGAACGGCAGCACGGACUUCGGUCUGGUGGCGAGUGGCGAACGGGUGAGUAAUACAUCGGAACGUGCCCAAUCGUGGGGGAUAACGUAGCGAAAGCUACGCUAAUACCGCAUACGAUCUAGGGAUGAAAGCGGGGGAUCGCAAGACCUCGCGCGAUUGGAGCGGCCGAUGGCAGAUUAGGUAGUUGGUAGGGUAGAGGCCUACCAAGCCGACGAUCUGUAGCUGGUCUGAGAGGAUGAUCCGGCACACUGGGACCGAGACACGGCCCAGACUCCUACGGGAGGCAGCAGUGGGGAAUUUUGGACAAUGGGCGAAAGCCUGAUCCAGCCAUUCCGCGUGCAGGAUGAAGGCCCUCGGGUUGUAAACUGCUUUUGUACAGAACGAAAAGGUUUCUACUAAUACUAGGAGCUCAUGACGGUACUGUAAGAAUAAGCACCGGCUAACUACGUGCCAGCAGCCGCCGCAG